UACGUAGGUGGCAAGCGUUGUCCGGAUUUACUGGGCGUAAAGGGCGUGCAGGCGGUCUGUUAAGUGCAGGGUGAAAGCUCCCGGCUCAACUGGGAGAGUCCUUGCAUACUGGCGGACUUGAGGGGGGUAGAGGAAAGUGGAAUUCCCGGUGUAGUGGUGAUAUGCGUAGAUAUCGGGAGGAACACCUGUGGCGAAGGCGGCUUCUGGGUCCCUACC
This 216-nucleotide ribosomal RNA is filed under the name uncultured bacterium. Its description in RNAcentral is "partial 16S ribosomal RNA". It matches the Rfam family "Bacterial small subunit ribosomal RNA", at positions 524 to 740 of the family's 1533-position model. The record is from RNAcentral.